CAGCGGGUGGGGCUAUUGGGGCCUGGCCCGGCGGCGGCUCCUCUGCGGUGCUGAGGUCGCCCUAGAGGGCUGCGUCCCGGGAUGCCCGGGACCCUCAUGGCCUGGUGACUCGAGGCCCUCUCCUUGCCAGCUCCUCUCCACCCCGCAGACGGUCUUUUUGAUGUCCUUUAGUGAAGUUUUACCAUUUUGUCCCUGGCAUUUUGGACAACACUUGAUGGCCAUUGUUGCAUGCAUGGUAUGUAGAGUUGUGUCCCUCAUUUCAUUUCAUUUCAUUUCAUUUCAUUU
Molecule: long non-coding RNA, 285 nt
Filed under: Lynx canadensis (Canada lynx)
Lineage: Eukaryota; Metazoa; Chordata; Mammalia; Carnivora; Felidae
Description: lncRNA (ENSLCNG00005022159.1)
Source: RNAcentral